UGGCCCUGGUUUAACAGGUAAAACACCACAUUGUGACUGUGGAGAACAGGGUUCGAGUCCCGGGGUCAACCA
This 72-nucleotide transfer RNA is filed under the name Niabella drilacis. RNAcentral's name for it is "tRNA_His_GTG". It matches the Rfam family "tRNA". Rfam says of the family: Transfer RNA (tRNA) molecules are approximately 80 nucleotides in length. Their secondary structure includes four short double-helical elements and three loops (D, anti-codon, and T loops). Further hydrogen bonds mediate the characteristic L-shaped molecular structure. tRNAs have two regions of fundamental functional importance: the anti-codon, which is responsible for specific mRNA codon recognition, and the 3' end, to which the tRNAs corresponding amino acid is attached (by aminoacyl-tRNA synthetases). tRNAs cope with the degeneracy of the genetic code in two manners: having more than one tRNA (with a specific anti-codon) for a particular amino acid; and 'wobble' base-pairing, i.e. permitting non-standard base-pairing at the 3rd anti-codon position. Lineage: Bacteria; Pseudomonadati; Bacteroidota; Chitinophagia; Chitinophagales; Chitinophagaceae. The record is from RNAcentral.